CAGCCGCCGCGGUAAUACGUAGGUGGCAAGCGUUGUCCGGAAUUAUUGGGCGUAAAGCGCGCGCAGGCGGUCCUUUAAGUCUGAUGUGAAAGCCCCCGGCUCAACCGGGGAGGGUCAUUGGAAACUGGGGGACUUGAGUGCAGGAGAGGGAAGUGGAAUUCCACGUGUAGCGGUGAAAUGCGUAGAGAUGUGGAGGAACACCAGUGGCGAAGGCGGCUUCCUGGCCUGUAACUGACGCUGAGGCGCGAAAGCGUGGGGAGCAAACAGGAUUAGAUACCCUGGUAGUCCACGCCGUAAACGAUGAGUGCUAAGUGUUAGGGGGUUUCCGCCCCUUAGUGCUGCAGCUAACGCAUUAAGCACUCCGCCUGGGGAGUACGGUCGCAAGGCUGAAACUUAAAGGAAUUGGCGGG
This 410-nucleotide ribosomal RNA is filed under the name uncultured microorganism. RNAcentral's name for it is "bacterial SSU rRNA". It matches the Rfam family "Bacterial small subunit ribosomal RNA", at positions 509 to 917 of the family's 1533-position model. The record is from RNAcentral.